This 227-nucleotide ribosomal RNA is filed under the name uncultured bacterium. RNAcentral's name for it is "partial 16S ribosomal RNA". It matches the Rfam family "Bacterial small subunit ribosomal RNA", at positions 109 to 334 of the family's 1533-position model. The record is from RNAcentral.
AGUAACGCGUGAGGAACCUGCCUCAAAGAGGGGGACAACAGUUGGAAACGACUGCUAAUACCGCAUAAGCCCACGGCUCGGCAUCGAGCAGAGGGAAAAGGAGCAAUCCGCUUUGAGAUGGCCUCGCGUCCGAUUAGCUAGUUGGUGAGGUAAUGACCCACCAAGGCGACGAUCGGUAGCCGGACUGAGAGGUUGAACGGCCACAUUGGGACUGAGACACGGCCCAG